Molecule: microRNA precursor, 104 nt
Filed under: Xyrichtys novacula (pearly razorfish)
Lineage: Eukaryota; Metazoa; Chordata; Actinopteri; Labriformes; Labridae
Source: RNAcentral
ACCUGGUUAUAACCUGAGACAUCACCUGGUUAUAACCUGGUUAUAUCCUUAGACAUGACCUGGUUAUAACCUGGUUAUAACCUGGUUAUAUCCUGAGACAAUAC